RNAcentral lists this unclassified non-coding RNA (369 nucleotides) under Hevea brasiliensis (rubber tree). The record is from RNAcentral. Lineage: Eukaryota; Viridiplantae; Streptophyta; Magnoliopsida; Malpighiales; Euphorbiaceae.
GUGAAAUCUACCAGGCUAUGCAACCGGGGGUGUUACACUUAGUAUGAAUGAAAAACUUAUGAAGGCACUGUCACCAAUCACCUACAUAUGGCAGGCAUAAGGGCUGAGUUGAAAAGCCACCUUUAUGCAAUAAAUAAUUACCGGCCCAAGGGAAGAAUAAUUAAUUGUACCUCUCUUUGACUUAAGCAGUAAGAAGUUUCACAGACCAGGACCACUGAAGUAUGGCUCCUCCCUGAGCCAGAUCCUACUUUGAUAUUUAGCCUUGAAUCCUCUGGUCCUGACUACAUUUAUCUACUCUAGUAAGAUUUUCAAGAUCCUAUGUAUAUGAAACAAUAAGAAACUAUUCAAUGUGCUACCUCUUUGAAUUCU